Pelobates cultripes (western spadefoot toad) is the source of this 237-nucleotide non-coding RNA. NCBI's taxonomy places the organism in Eukaryota, Metazoa, Chordata, Amphibia, Anura, Pelobatidae. The record is from the annotation of a GenBank genome assembly.
CCGUCCUGUGCCCCAAGUGAAUUGUAACAUUUUUGCCUGUAUAUUCUUGAAAUAUGAGUUUGGUGCUUUCCAUGGGAGGUUCCUGAAUACGUAUUGGAGUUUUGGCAAUAUGGACAUUUUAAGUGCUAUUAUGCGCUCCGCCCAGGAUAAGAAAAUGUGUCCCCAGCCCUUCAGGAUUCCGGAGCAGUCUUUCCAGACCCCGUUAUAGUUGGAAGGAAACAUAUCAUUUGGGUUUUU